RNAcentral lists this non-coding RNA (30 nucleotides) under Rattus norvegicus (Norway rat). Lineage: Eukaryota; Metazoa; Chordata; Mammalia; Rodentia; Muridae. The record is from RNAcentral.
UGCAAAUGUCCCAANAGGGCCCACAGCCAA